Long non-coding RNA from Ctenopharyngodon idella (grass carp), 750 nucleotides. RefSeq lists it as uncharacterized. The record is from RefSeq and is a predicted model, not a curated record. The transcript has 4 exons. NCBI's taxonomy places the organism in Eukaryota, Metazoa, Chordata, Actinopteri, Cypriniformes, Xenocyprididae.
CAGGCUGCCGUACCGGUGACGUAAUUUCCAUCCUACACCGGAUGUGUGAGUUGGCUCGCCGGGGAUAUCAAGAUGUCUGCCAUAUUUAAUUUCCAGAGUCUGUUGACAGUUAUCUUACUGCUCAUCUGCACCUGCGCGUAUAUUCGAGCUCUCGCUCCCAGCCUGCUGGAUAAGAACAAAACUGGAUUUCUUGGAAUAUUCUGGAAAUGUGCAAGAAUAGGUGAGCGCAAAAGCCCUUACGUGGCAUUUUGCUGUAUCAUCAUGGCCUUCACAAUUUUAUUUUCGGAGUAGCAGAUGAAGUAUUUGAGGAUUUGGAGCAGGCAGAGAUGAUUUCCAAGAACAGCUACAAGAUUCUACAGCAGGGAACAAGAUGUGUGAUCGGGCGACAUUCAGACUCUCUUAGGCAGAACUGUGCUUCUGUUAAUGCAUGUGGAAGCAACUACAGCCUGAGUGUUUCUCAGCCUCCCGGACCUAUUUUUGUAAAUACAAAUUGUUAUUGGUCUCCAUGGUAAUGCUCCAGUUGUCAUUGACUCGUGCACCCAAAGCUGUUCUAAUGUAACAUGUUUGAUGUUGGAGCCAAAAUGCUUGUCGCUGACAGUUUUAUAAUGGGACAUUGAGGAUAAAUCUGAUGCACACAGAUAGAUGUGCUUGAUAUCGUGAUAUUGUUAAAUUGUUCAAUUGAAUCUGUUAACUUUGUUUUACAUGGAGAUGUGGCGAAGUUUGCAUUAAAAGAUGAAUUUAUUACAGAAA